Molecule: ribosomal RNA, 198 nt
Filed under: uncultured bacterium
Lineage: Bacteria
Description: partial 16S ribosomal RNA
Rfam family: Bacterial small subunit ribosomal RNA
Source: RNAcentral
AGCCUGCAACUCGGCUGCAUGAAGCUGGAAUCGCUAGUAAUCGCGGAUCAGAAUGCCGCGGUGAAUACGUUCCGGGUCUUGUACACACCGCCCGUCACACCAUGGGAGUUGGAAAUGCCCGAAGUCAGUGACCCAACCGGAAGGAGGGAGCUGCCGAAGGCAGGUUCGAUGACUGGGGUGAAGUCGUAACAAGGUAGC